CCAAUAGCGUAUAUUAAAGUUGUUGCAGUUAAAAAGCUCGUAGUUGAAUUUCGGGGUUAGUAGGUUGGUCAUGCCUCUGGUAUGUACUGGUCUCACUGAUUCCUCCUUCCUGAUGAACCUUAAUGCCAUUAAUUUGGUGUUUUGGGGAAUUUGGACUGUUACUUUGAAAAAAUUAGAGUGUUUAAAGCAAGCUAACGCUUGAAUACAUUAGCAUGGAAUAAUGAAAUAGGACGUUCGAUCCUAUUUUGUUGGUUUCUAGGAUUGACGUAAUGAUUAAUAGGGAUAGUUGGGGGCAUUAGUAUUCAAUUGUCAGAGGUGAAAUUCUUGGAUUUAUUGAAGACUAACUACUGCGAAAGCAUUUGCCAAGGAUGUUUUCAUUAAUCAAGAACGAAAGUUAGGGGAUCGAAGACGAUCAGAUACCGUCGUAGUCUUAACCAUAAACUAUGCCGACUAGGGAUCGGAUGAUGUUAAUUUUUUAAUGACUCAUUCGGCGCCUUAC
Molecule: ribosomal RNA, 499 nt
Filed under: uncultured Glomus
Lineage: Eukaryota; Fungi; Glomeromycota; Glomeromycetes; Glomerales; Glomeraceae
Description: SSU rRNA
Rfam family: Eukaryotic small subunit ribosomal RNA
Source: RNAcentral